RNAcentral lists this transfer-messenger RNA (357 nucleotides) under Desulfobacteraceae. Its description in RNAcentral is "MADRE2 sp004796375 Standard tmRNA". It matches the Rfam family "transfer-messenger RNA". Rfam says of the family: Bacterial tmRNA, also known as 10Sa RNA or SsrA, is named for its dual tRNA and mRNA-like properties. Its role is to liberate the mRNA from a stalled ribosome. The record is from RNAcentral. Lineage: Bacteria; Pseudomonadati; Thermodesulfobacteriota; Desulfobacteria; Desulfobacterales. RNAcentral also lists the same sequence under 1 other name.
GGGGGCGAAACGGCUUCGACGGAGAUAAUGAGCGCCACGGUAGCAUACCGAGUUUUUUGCAAACUCGUAAAUCCUCGCAAAACCUAAACAUAAUCGCAGACGAUUAUAACUACGCAGUAGCUGCUUAAGCAACUGCCGUCCUCCUGAAAUCCUUUCUGCAGAUUCAGAUAGGGGCGUCGACUAUGCAGAACCGCCUGUUCAGGAUGCCUGAUCCUGACGGGUUGAAUUUUUCAGGCUAUACUGGAGUGAAGCCAUCCUGGAGGGGGCACUUCAGCAAAUUGUAAAAUUCAGGAUAAGUAUGUAGAAGCCUGGUGUGAAUGUUUUCGGACGCGGGUUCAACUCCCGCCGCCUCCACCA